This 785-nucleotide ribosomal RNA is filed under the name uncultured bacterium. RNAcentral's name for it is "bacterial SSU rRNA". It matches the Rfam family "Bacterial small subunit ribosomal RNA", at positions 780 to 1533 of the family's 1533-position model. The record is from RNAcentral.
AGAUACCCCGGUAGUCCUNGCCCUAAACGAUGAAUGCUUGGUGGGGGGGUAUCGAUCCCUGCCGUGCCGAAGCUAACGCAUUAAGCAUUCCNCCUGGGAGUACGGUCGCAAGGCUGAAACUCAAAGGAANUGACGGGGGCCCGCACAAGCGGUGGAGCAUGUGGUUCAAUUCGACGCAACGCGAAGAACCUUACCCAGGCUUGAACAGCGAGUGACCACUCCCGAAAGGGAGCUUCCGCAAGGACACUCGUAGAGGUGCUGCAUGGCUGUCGUCAGCUCGUGUCGUGAGAUGUUGGGUUAAGUCCCGCAACGAGCGCAACCCUUGUUUGCUGUUGCCAUCAGGUUAUGCUGGGCACUCUGCAGAGACUGCCGGUGAUAAACCGGAGGAAGGUGGGGAUGACGUCAAGUCAGCAUGGCCUUUAUGUCUGGGGCUACACACGUGCUACAAUGGCAGAUACAAACCGUCGCGAGACCGCAAGGUGGAGCUAAUCGGAGAAAGUCUGUCUCAGUUCGGAUAGCAGGCUGCAACUCGCCUGCUUGAAGUUGGAAUCGCUAGUAAUCGCGGAUCAGCACGCCGCGGUGAAUACGUUCCCGGGCCUUGUACACACCGCCCGUCACAUCAUGAAAGCCGGUUGUACUAGAAGCCGCCAUACUAACCCGCAAGGGAGGGAGGCNUCUAAGGUAUGAUCGGUGAUUGGGGUGAAGUCGUACUCNANNNAANCAACCAGAAAANCAGCACNCANGCUCNCAUCNGUANANGAUNAAAACGACGNCCAANGAUUCUG